ACAUUGGGGUGUAUGUGUCCUGGCGUUUCACUGCAUCUGUAUCUUUGUGUAAAUACCCAGUAGUGUAAUUGAUGGGUCGUAGGAUAGCUCUAUUUUUAACUUCUUGAGGACCCUCCACACUAAACCCAACACUCUUAAAAUGGCUUUCAAGGCUUGACACAAUCUGGACCCCCUUUUACUCUCUGACUUCAUCUCCUAAUUUUCUCUGCAAUUCUUUAACCCACCCACCCACCACCAGGUCCACCAGAUGAACCCCCAGCAGUGACUCCAACCCCAGGGCCUUUGAACGGGCUAUCCUGGACUCCCAGACAUGCAGGCCAGUUCCCCUGCCUGCUCACAGGUCACUGCCUCCAUGAGGCCUCCCUGACAUUGACAGUGGCACCCCACUCUCCACCCCUCCCCCUGUACUACCUCGGCUUUUGUCCACCACAUACCACUCCUUCUAGACACCAGGUAGUCUACUUAACAUAGUCUGUUUACUCUUCUUUGAUGGUCUCCACCACAGGUGCCUGGGAGAGUUGCAGGCAUAUAAAAGAUGCCCAAUGAGCAUUUGUGGUAUUGAUUUGUACAGGGAUUUAGUACAUGGAAAUCAAAUGGGAUCGCCACUUCUUCAGUGAAAAGAAGUAUUACAAAACAAAAUGUCCAGCCUUCUUCUUUAUCAAAUUGUCAGCAUCUUGAGGUCUAGGUUGGGCUUUUCUCCAGAGAAGGCUCUAGCAAUUCUGUUUAGAAAGAGAGCAAGGAAGAGAGGAAGGCUGCUGCUGCCCUGGAAAGAGAGCCUAUUACUCAGAUACAUAAAAAGUUUUUAACAGGACUUCCCUGACGUAGAAGAAAUGUUUUCCUAUUUCAUGUAGCAUUCCCUGCUCUCACACACCCACGUUCCUACCUGAGUCUGGGAGUCCAAGCCCCAGCCCCUGCUUCAGAGAAGGCAUCUCCAUCCCAUGUGGGGAGGCCGGGGAGGAAGGGGGGGGGGAGUCUUCCCUGCACAAGGAGCUGGGGUGGUCCUGAGGCUCCACUCUCAUCACCAGGAACCUCCACAGACUACAUUUUAGGCACUUCAGCCAAAUUGGAGAACUUUCCAUGUAAGAAAACCCAGAAACUACAGAAGGAAUAAAGCUGACCAUACAGAAAUGUCAAAAUAACCCAAAAUCUAAAUACAAAUAACAGUUGGGAAAAAAUCUUUGCAACAUAUGACAACUGAUUUCCUAGCUAUUAAAAGCUCUUCUACAGAUCAGUAGAAGGCCUUCAACCUGGAGAGUUACCAGCCAGCGAUACAAACAUUGCACACGGUUAAUAGAAGGAGAAAAACCCAGGACUCUGAUAAGACUUAAAAAAAUAUUUAACAUGGUUUAUGAGACACUCAAAUUUUUUCCUGUAUCAAUAUGGAGAAGGGGAAGAAAGGGGUGUGGCCAUGUGGGGUGGGGCAAAGGCACUGCCCUGCUGGGGAUGUAUUCGUGGCCAGAUGGCAACAUCUAAAAGGAUCACAUCCCAGGAGCAGUGCGGCCACAACCAUCCAGGACCCCCCAGCAUCACUGCUAGAUGUAACCCUGGAAGGAUGAUGGCAGGAGCCAGGGGAGGCAUCUGGCCACCCUGUCACCAUGUUUGUAGCAGCGCCGCCCAACAGCCAAAGGCAGAAACAAGCCAAAGGGCCACCGACAGGACAAGAAGCUCUGGGAACCGUCGCACGGCUCCUGCGGCGCCCGUGUACCUACAGAAUGCCGGGGUGCCUCCCUGCAGCGCUGCUGCCAACGGGCGCUCCCUGGGAACAACGUGAAGGUUCGGCGGUAAAGGGCUGGUUAAUACGUGAAAUAAAGCCACAAAUGAACGAA
Canis lupus familiaris (dog) is the source of this 1826-nucleotide long non-coding RNA. RefSeq lists it as uncharacterized. NCBI's taxonomy places the organism in Eukaryota, Metazoa, Chordata, Mammalia, Carnivora, Canidae. The transcript is spliced from 2 exons. The record is from RefSeq and is a predicted model, not a curated record.